This 73-nucleotide transfer RNA is filed under the name Ipomoea nil (Japanese morning glory). It matches the Rfam family "tRNA". From Rfam's summary of the family: Transfer RNA (tRNA) molecules are approximately 80 nucleotides in length. Their secondary structure includes four short double-helical elements and three loops (D, anti-codon, and T loops). Lineage: Eukaryota; Viridiplantae; Streptophyta; Magnoliopsida; Solanales; Convolvulaceae. The record is from Rfam by way of RNAcentral.
GCCUGUUUAGCUCAGUUGGUAGAGCGCAAGGCUCUUAACCUUGAGGUCCUGGGUUCGAGCCCCAAGGUGGGUG